ACGUAGGGUGCAAGCGUUAAUCGGAAUUACUGGGCGUAAAGCGUGCGCAGGCGGUUAUAUAAGACAGAUGUGAAAUCCCCGGGCUCAACCUGGGAACUGCAUUUGUGACUGUAUAGCUAGAGUACGGCAGAGGGGGAUGGAAUUCCGCGUGUAGCAGUGACAUGGGUCUGUACUGGGGGGCAGGCCGAAGGUGGAGGGGAGCAACUGGGAUUAGACUCACUAUUAUUCCGGAAACCGUCUGCCGCAUACAG
This 251-nucleotide ribosomal RNA is filed under the name uncultured prokaryote. Its description in RNAcentral is "partial 16S rRNA". It matches the Rfam family "Bacterial small subunit ribosomal RNA", at positions 525 to 775 of the family's 1533-position model. The record is from RNAcentral.